UCCUACGGGGCGCAGCAGUAGGGAAUUUUCGUCAAUGGGCGCAAGCCUGAACGAGCAAUGCCGCGUGAACGAGGAAGGUCUUCGGAUCGUAAAGUUCUGUUGCAGGGGAAAAAGAGCGGAGAGAGGAAAUGGUCUCCGAUUGAUAUUACCCUUCGGGGAAGUCACGGCUAACUACGUGCCAGCAGCCGCGGUAAUACGUAGGUGGCGAGCGUUAUCCGGAAUGAUUGGGCGUAAAGGGUGCGUAGGCGGCCUGCUAAGUCUGGAGUGAAAGGUACCGGCUCAACCGGUACAGGCUCUGGAAACUG
This 305-nucleotide ribosomal RNA is filed under the name uncultured bacterium. RNAcentral's name for it is "bacterial SSU rRNA". It matches the Rfam family "Bacterial small subunit ribosomal RNA", at positions 337 to 635 of the family's 1533-position model. The record is from RNAcentral.